Molecule: ribosomal RNA, 345 nt
Filed under: Pseudomonas aeruginosa
Lineage: Bacteria; Pseudomonadati; Pseudomonadota; Gammaproteobacteria; Pseudomonadales; Pseudomonadaceae
Description: bacterial SSU rRNA
Rfam family: Bacterial small subunit ribosomal RNA
Source: RNAcentral
AACGAGCGAAACCCUUAUCCUUUGUUGCCAGCGGUUAGGCCGGGAACUCAAAGGAGACUGCCAGUGAUAAACUGGAGGAAGGUGGGGAUGACGUCAAGUCAUCAUGGCCCUUACGACCAGGGCUACACACGUGCUACAAUGGCAUAUACAAAGAGAAGCGACCUCGCGAGAGCAAGCGGACCUCAUAAAGUAUGUCGUAGUCCGGAUUGGAGUCUGCAACUCGACUCCAUGAAGUCGGAAUCGCUAGUAAUCGUAGAUCAGAAUGCUACGGUGAAUACGUUCCCGGGCCUUGUACACACCGCCCGUCACACCAUGGGAGUGGGUUGCAAAAGAAGUAGGUAGCUU